This 610-nucleotide ribosomal RNA is filed under the name uncultured bacterium. Its description in RNAcentral is "bacterial SSU rRNA". It matches the Rfam family "Bacterial small subunit ribosomal RNA", at positions 40 to 699 of the family's 1533-position model. The record is from RNAcentral.
CGGCGCCUACACAUGCAAGUUCGAGCGAGACCUUCGGGUCUAGCGGCGGACGGGUUAGUACCCUUUGGGAACGUACCUUUUGCUUCGGAAUAGCCUCGGGACCUGGGAGUAAUACCGAAUGUGCCCUUUGGGGGAAAGAUUUAUCGGCAAAAGAUCGGCCCGCGUCUGAUUAGAUAGUUGGUGGGGUAAUGGCCUACCAAGUCUGCGAUCAGUAGCUGGUUUGAGAGGAUGAUCAGCAACACUGGGACUGAGACACGGCCCAGACUCCUACGGGAGGCAGCAGUGGGGAAUCUUAGACAAUGGGCGCAAGCCUGAUCUAGCGAUGCCGCGUGAGUGACGAAGGCCUUAGGGUCGUAAAGCUCUUUCGCCAGGGAUGAUAAUGACAGUACCUGGUAAAGAAACCCCGGCUAACUCCGUGCCAGCAGCCGCGGUAAUACGGAGGGGGUUAGCGUUGUUCGGAAUUACUGGGCGUAAAGCGCACGUAGGCGGAUUAGAAAGUUGGGGGUGAAAUCCCAGGGCUCAACCCUGGAACUGCCUCCAAAACUACUAGUCUAGAGUUCGAGAGAGGUGAGUGGAAUUCCGAGUGUAGAGGUGAAAUUCGUAGAUAUUC